This is a long non-coding RNA of Drosophila willistoni, 186 nucleotides long. RefSeq lists it as uncharacterized. The transcript has 2 exons. The record is from RefSeq and is a predicted model, not a curated record. NCBI's taxonomy places the organism in Eukaryota, Metazoa, Arthropoda, Insecta, Diptera, Drosophilidae.
GAUCUAAAAAGAAAUCAACUAAAAGAUAUAUAUUGUUUAUAUAGAUAAAGCUGAAGCUUAAGAGUUUAACCAAUUCAAAAAAAAAGUGAAGAAGAGAAUACAUCGAAAUUCCAAUUGGAAGUGAAGGGUGUAACGUAGACGCACGCACACAAAGAGACGCACAGAGAAACACCGGCAAAAGCAAAA